Molecule: ribosomal RNA, 154 nt
Filed under: Phlebia cf. floridensis
Lineage: Eukaryota; Fungi; Basidiomycota; Agaricomycetes; Polyporales; Meruliaceae
Description: 5.8S ribosomal RNA
Rfam family: 5.8S ribosomal RNA
About the family: 5.8S ribosomal RNA (5.8S rRNA) is a component of the large subunit of the eukaryotic ribosome.
Source: RNAcentral
AACUUUCAGCAACGGAUCUCUUGGCUCUCGCAUCGAUGAAGAACGCAGCGAAAUGCGAUAAGUAAUGUGAAUUGCAGAAUUCAGUGAAUCAUCGAAUCUUUGAACGCACCUUGCGCUCUUUGGUAUUCCGAAGAGCAUGCCUGUUUGAGUGUCA